UGUUGCUUGCAAGGGCGUAUGGUGGAUGCCUUGGCAGACAGGGCCGAUGAAGGACGUUUGAGGCUGCGAUAUGCCUCGGGGAGCCGCCAACAGGGCUUUGAUCCGAGGAUUUCCGAAUGGGGGAACCCACCGACCGUCAUGGGUCGGUACCGGCUUCGGCCGGGGGGUACGCAGGGAAGUGAAACAUCUCAGUACCUGCAGGAAAGGAUAUUCCGUGAGUAGUGGCGAGCGAAAGCGGAUGAUGGCCAAACCUUGCGCGUGUGAUACCCGUCGGGGGUUGCGCGCGGGGUGUAGAGGGAUCGCGUUUGCCGGCUCCGACGGGCCGGCCGGCAGUUGCAGAAAACCAUGUGUCAGGGGAACCGGGUUGAAUACCGGGCCGCAGAGGGUGAGGGCCCCGUACCUGAACGCGCAUGGUCUGCCGAUCGCGUCUCCCAAGUAGCACGGGUCCCGUGGAACCCCGUGCGAAUCCGCCCAGACCGUUGGGUAAGCCUGAAUAUUCCUGUCUGACCGAUAGCGAACGAGUACCGUGAGGGAAAGGUGAAAAGUACCCCGGGAGGGGAGUGAAACAGUCUCUGAAACCGUGCGCCUACAAUCCGUCGGAGCCCUUUUGUGGGGUGACGGCGUGCCUAUCGAAAAAUGAGUCUGCGAGUCAGUGGCAUGUGGCGAGCAUAACCCGUGUGGGGUAUGCGUAGCGAAGGCGAGUCUUAAAAGGCGUUUGAGUCGCGUGUCCUGGACCCGAAGCGGGAUGAUCUAGCCCUGGGCAGGUUGAAGCGCGGGUAAGACCGCGUGGAGGACCGAACCCACCUGGGUUGAAAACCGGGGGGAUGACUUGGGGCUAGGGGUGAAAGGCCAAUCAAAUUCCGUGAUAGCUGGUUCUCUCCGAAAUGCAUUUGGGUGCAGCGUCGGGUCAUUACGUCCCGGGGGUAGAGCUACUGGAUGCUUGCGGGCCCGUAUCGGGUACCAACAGCAACCAAACUCCGAAUACCCGUGAUGCGUAUCCCGGCAGUGAGUCGGCGGGGGAUAAGCUCCGUCGUCGAGAGGGAGACAGCCCAGAUCGUCGUCUAAGGUCCCGAAGCGUGUGCUAAGUGGGAAAGGAUGUGGAGUCGCAUAGACAGCCAGGAGGUUGGCUCAGAAGCAGCCAUCCUUGAAAGAGUGCGUAACAGCUCACUGGUCUAGUGGUUCCGCGCCGACAAUGUAGCGGGGCUCAAGCACACCACCGAAGACGCGGCAGUAUUUUGUACUGGGUAGGAGAGCGUCCCAUGAGGGGCGAAGCGGCCGUGUGAACGCGCCGUGGACUUCAUGGGAGUGAGAAUGCAGACAUGAGUAGCGAGAGACGGGUGAAGAUCCCGUCCGCUGGAUGACCAAGGGUUCCAGGGCCACGUUCAUCGUCCCUGGGUGAGUCGGGUCCUAAGGCGAGGCCGACAGGCGUAGUCGAAUGGAUGAACGGGUCGAUAUUCCCGUACCGGCUUUCAGCCGCCAAAACCGAGGCUUGGAGUACUAACCUCCGGGUCCGGGCUUACUGCUCCUUCGGGGGCGGGAUGCCCUGGCCUGUUGGGACCGAUCCUUGUAGUAGGUCAGCGCAGGAGUGACGCAGAAGGGUAGCCGGCCGCGGAGGUGGUUUUCCGUGGUCAAGCACGCAGGGCGUGGGACAGGCAAAUCCGUCCCGCAUGGGUCCGAGGUGCGAUGAUGGGGGCCUUAUGGCCCGAUAUCCGGUGAUCCCGGCUGCCGAGAAAAGCUUCGGCGUCAGGCUCAAAGCCGCCCGUACCCCAAACCGACACUGGUGGUCAGGUAGAGAAUACCAAGGCGAUCGAGCGAAUCCUGGUCAAGGAACUCGGCAAAUCACUCCCGUUCCUUCGGUUUAAGGGAGACCCCCGAUGGUGAACACACUUGCUGUGGGAGCUUUUGGGGGUGGCACAGACCAGGGGGUAGCGACUGUUUACCAAAAACACAGGUGCAUGCGAAGGCGUAAGCCGCUGUAUAUGCACUGACGCCUGCCCGGUGCCGGAAGGUUAAGAGGAUCCGUCAGCCUUCGGGUGAAGCGGUGAAUUCAAGCCCCGGUAAACGGCGGUGGUAACUAUAACCAUCCUAAGGUAGCGAAAUUCCUUGUCGGGUAAGUUCCGACCUGCACGAAUGGCGUA
This 2138-nucleotide ribosomal RNA is filed under the name human gut metagenome. Its description in RNAcentral is "bacterial LSU rRNA". It matches the Rfam family "Bacterial large subunit ribosomal RNA", at positions 1 to 2003 of the family's 2925-position model. The record is from RNAcentral.